RNAcentral lists this ribosomal RNA (253 nucleotides) under uncultured bacterium. RNAcentral's name for it is "partial 16S ribosomal RNA". It matches the Rfam family "Bacterial small subunit ribosomal RNA", at positions 524 to 776 of the family's 1533-position model. The record is from RNAcentral.
UACGUAGGGGGCAAGCGUUGUCCGGAAUCACUGGGCGUAAAGCGCGCGCAGGCGGUCAUCUACGUCUGGGGUGAAAGCCCGGAGCUCAACUCCGGGAUUGCCUUGGAUACGGGAUGACUUGAGGAUCGGAGAGGCAAGGGGAAUUCCACGUGUAGCGGUGAAAUGCGUAGAGAUCAGGAAGAACACCGGUGGCGAAGGCGCUCUGCUAGGCCGCAACUGACACUGAGGGACGAAAGCUAGGGGAGCGAAUGGG